Molecule: ribosomal RNA, 301 nt
Filed under: uncultured bacterium
Lineage: Bacteria
Description: partial 16S ribosomal RNA
Rfam family: Bacterial small subunit ribosomal RNA
Source: RNAcentral
CAGCAGCCACGGUAAUACGUAGGGUGCGAGCGUUAAUCGGAAUUACUGGGCGUAAAGCGUGCGCAGGCGGUUGUGCAAGACAGAUGUGAAAUCCCCGAGCUUAACUUGGGAACUGCAUUUGUGACUGCACGGCUAGAGUGUGUCAGAGGGGGGUAGAAUUCCACGUGUAGCAGUGAAAUGCGUAGAUAUGUGGAGGAAUACCGAUGGCGAAGGCAGCCCCCUGGGAUAACACUGACGCUCAUGCACGAAAGCGUGGGGAGCAAACAGGAUUAGAUACCCGUGUAGUCCCUGUCUCUUAUAC